This 3039-nucleotide long non-coding RNA is filed under the name Cricetulus griseus (Chinese hamster). Its description in RNAcentral is "lncRNA (ENSCGRG00015035822.1)". Lineage: Eukaryota; Metazoa; Chordata; Mammalia; Rodentia; Cricetidae. The record is from RNAcentral.
GGAAGCCUGAGGGAGCCUAGCACACGGUGUGGUUGAUGAUGGCUUUUUUUCUUCCAAGAUGAACAAAAUAAAAACCCCAGCCAAGGUUUUCCUGAAGACGGGCUUAUCUCCCGCAUUGAUGGGCAACAUUUCCCUGCCAAGGUAGAAUUCCAUUACCAAACAGCAAGCUUACGAACGCAGCUGAAGGUCGGCACCCCUGCUGCCAGGAUCCGUGGAUGCUUGGCACAGCUAGGCACAUCUGCUCCGUGGAUCUCAUUGGGUCCAAUACUGCGGUCUACAGCUUCCUCCUGCAUUUCCUUUGCUAAAGAUUUAUCAUGGAAACACAAAAAUGGCUCUGUCCAUGAGAAUAUUUCCAGAGAGGUUUGACUGAGGAGGGAAGAACACACCCUGAAUGUUGUGGCAGUAUCCUGUGGGCUGGGGUCCUGGACCAAAUAAAAGGAGAAGAUGAACUGAACAUCAACAUCCAUGUUUCUCUGCUUCUGGACUGUGGGUACCACUUGACCAGCUGCCUCACACUCCACCUGGAGCCUUUCCUACCACCCGUGAAGUCCUUUCUGUGAUGAUCCCUAGACUGUGCACCAGAAUAAACAUGCCAUUCCUUACAUGGCUUUUAACAGGCAACUAGAAAAGUACCUACAAUGAUCAAACAGACUCGGAACCCAUCCUGUGUGCCAAACAUCCCAGGUCUCCAAGAAGAGAACUCCAGAACCCCAGUGCAAGCUGCGAGGGAAAGCAAGUCUCUUUCGUGUUGCUCAUCACUGAUGACAGUCUGUCUUCACUAGCUUGAUGCCCAGGGUCAGUUUAAAUCCUUGGAUGUGCCAAGAGCCCCAUCUGUUCCUCCAUCUGAAAUGGGAAUAUUUUGCUCUUUUUAUAUUUUUUUUAAAUCUUGAUUUGGUCUUUUGGUGUUUGUGCUGCAGGCUUCAGCUCAGAGGCCAAUUAUGAACAAAUGUAUUAAGCAAUAUUAGGAAAUGAGUGAACAGGUCCAUGGAAAGAAUAUAGGAGGGGGGGUGAAUUAAGUCUCUAUGUGACAUCCAGUCCAGAUGACUCAAGGAAAACACAGGGGAGCCUGAGCGACUUCAGCAGACACAGGGCUCUGGCUCCAUGUCUCAGUGUUAAGGGCAAGCAGACCCUGAGAGAUGUGACAAAAACACCUUGAGGAGACAGUUGAAAGUGCAGCUGUUGCCAUGGAAUCACUACCGUUUAUUCCUAUGCUCAUCUUUUAUAUUUGCUCAUCUGAGAAGAUAGGCCAACUGUAACACAUCUCUGGAAUCUCACUCUUCAGCAAAGAAAGCUACAUCUCUCCUGUGGAUGGAUGAAGCCAUCGGGGUUAGGGAUGGGGGUCAAGGACCAAUGGUGCUGUUUCAGAAGGUUCUAGAACCUUGAGGUGCAACCUUGAGGGAAGAAAUGUGUCACUUGGAUCUGGCUUUGAUAGUUCAUAGCCUCGCAUCACUUUUAGUCCACUCUGUCUACUUCCUGUGUGGGUAUGCUUAAGAUGGGAUCUCUCAGCUUCCUCCCUCUGCAGCCGUGUCUCCCCAUCUUUAUAAAUUUCUCAAAUUGUCUUUGUCAUGAUGAUCCAGAUCUAUUCUAAGGGAAGAAUUUCCUCAGUCAUCAGUUUCAACUUUCACCUUCAUUUAAAGUUACAGUGAAUUAAAAGAAUAAUGAUAGAAUUCUUUCUUGAGAGGGAAGAAAUGCUUACGAAUGUUGUGGUUUUUAGUGUUUUUAGGAAAUCAGGGGACUGUGUCUUUGAAUUCAUUGGCCAGGUAAGAACAAGGAUGACCUUGUAAUGUCCAGUGUCCUGUCACAGGAUCAAGACAGAAGACAAGGGUAGAGAUGAUCAUCUCAGUGUGGUGGCAGAGCUCAGAAGUCCCUAGUUGGGAAGUGUCACCAGUGGGAGUGGCUUCGCUAUGGGAUAGCACUCCAUCAAACAUCCCAGUCUUGCCCUUCAAGGGUGGACAGACACACAGCUGGGGUUCCCCAGCCCCCCACUUGUCAUGUCUCUCACUAGGAAGGGUCACCUCUGUUUCACUUUUUCUGGCAGAGCAAAGCCAGGGCUGGCUACUUUGGGUCACGGCUACUUUGGGUGACGCUUUGCUUUUUAACCCCCAAACACUUCCUAUGAGUCCCCUCUUCUGCCGACCUCUAGCCUCUCCUUAAGCUUUGUUUGUUCAGCACAGUGGGGCUUAUUCUGUGCGGAAGGAAUCCUUUUGCCUUUACAGAUGGAGGAAAUCUGAAAGCCUCAUGGACCCCACAGAGAAUUUCCUUGGAGAAAUCACCAGCUUUGUUCCCAACAGCAGGUGGCAGUGUUGCUGUAGGAAAACCCCCGCGGCUUCCAGGGCCUGGGCCAGCCCUGAGAUAUUUUUACCCGAAAGAGAAAAGGCCCAAUAUGAAACAAAAACUUGGCAGAAGAAAUUCCGAGAAGAAUGCAAAGCCCCUAAAAGACUGUAAAUUACCAGCCUGUCCUUCCUCACUGAGCCCCAGCUUCACCAGCCCCAGCUUCGCCAGCCCUGCCACCCCCCCACUCCAGGCCUUUUGGAAGAGGCAAUCAUCCGAUGGUCCAUAGCUGCUAAUGACCUCUCCACCCUGGCAGCACAAUUCUGCCCCUUCCCACUAGGCUAGGAAUGCUGUUCCCAACCAGAAGGAUGUGAAGGAGCUGGGACCAAAUGCCCUCUUGUCUCCUGGACUGUAGGCCUCAGGGGAGCAAAGGGGAUUUUGCUUUUGUGAGCUCUCAGCCAGAACUCCUGGCUCAGAUCUCCUGAGGCUAACUUCAGCAAGAAGUGCCUGUGCUAAAUCUCACAGAAUUACUGGCUGAGUUCAGGGACUAUUCAGGUGUGAGCAAUGGAGCCAAGUGGCAAAGCUGGUUUUUGUCACCACCCCCAUGUGGCUUGCAAAGCUCAGUCAGGUAUAGAUCGAUGCCUGGGAUCCAUAGCAACAGUAUUGGAGGCUCCUCUCAGGUGUCUGUUUAAAGCACUAGUGUGUGUGUGUGCGUGUGUGUGUGUGUGUGUGUGUGUGUGUGUGUGUGUGUGUGUGUGUGUGUGUGUG